GACGAACGCUGGCGGCGUGCUUAACACAUGCAAGUCGAACGGAAAGGCCCUGCUUUUGUGGGGUGCUCGAGUGGCGAACGGGUGAGUAACACGUGAGUAACCUGCCCUUGACUUUGGGAUAACUUCAGGAAACUGGGGCUAAUACCGGAUAGGAGCUCCUGCUGCAUGGUGGGGGUUGGAAAGUUUCGGCGGUUGGGGAUGGACUCGCGGCUUAUCAGCUUGUUGGUGGGGUAGUGGCUUACCAAGGCUUUGACGGGUAGCCGGCCUGAGAGGGUGACCGGCCACAUUGGGACUGAGAUACGGCCCAGACUCCUACGGGAGGCAGUAGUGGGGAAUAUUGCACAAUGGGCGGAAGCCUGAUGCAGCAACGCCGCGUGCGGGAUGACGGCCUUCGGUUUGUAAACCGCUUUCGCCUGUGACGAAGCGUGAGUGACGGUAAUGGGUAAAGAAGCACCGGCUAACUACGUG
This 468-nucleotide ribosomal RNA is filed under the name uncultured bacterium. RNAcentral's name for it is "partial 16S ribosomal RNA". It matches the Rfam family "Bacterial small subunit ribosomal RNA", at positions 28 to 507 of the family's 1533-position model. The record is from RNAcentral.